This 490-nucleotide ribosomal RNA is filed under the name uncultured bacterium. Its description in RNAcentral is "partial 16S ribosomal RNA". It matches the Rfam family "Bacterial small subunit ribosomal RNA", at positions 30 to 507 of the family's 1533-position model. The record is from RNAcentral.
AUUGAACGCUGGCGGCAGGCCUAACACAUGCAAGUCGAACGGUAACAGGAAGAGGCUUGCUUCUUUGCUGACGAGGGGCGGACGGGUGAGAAAUGUCUGGGAAACUGCCUGAUGGAGGGGGAUAACUACUGGAAACGGUAGCUAAUACCGCAUAACGUCGCAAGACCAAAGAGGGGGACCUUCGGGCCUCUUGCCAUCGGAUGUGCCCAGAUGGGAUUAGCUAGUAGGUGGGGUAACGGCUCACCUAGGCGACGAUCCCUAGCUGGUCUGAGAGGAUGACCAGCCACACUGGAACUGAGACACGGUCCAGACUCCUACGGGAGCGAGCAGUGGGGGAUAUUGCACAAUGGGCGCAAUCCUGAUGCAGCCAUGCCGCGUGUAUGAAGAAGGCCUUCGGGUUGUAAAGUACUUUCAGCGGGGAGGAAGGGAGUAAAGUUAAUACCUUUGCUCAUUGACGUUACCCGCAGAAGAAGCACCGGCUAACUCCGUG